AACGAAAUUCUUAGUUGUCAUUUCUCUGUACACAAAUUGAAGAUCUACAUGAACGCUUCACGAAAACUUCAGGGGAAGAGCAGCCGCGGUCGGAAGGGGGAGGCGGAUUUUGACGGUGGUGAAGGAGAGGAGCUGCUGCGGAUCAGUCGUUAUUUUCAAUUUGAAGUGAAAUCGCCAGCUUCUUCUAGCGAUUUAUGACUAAAAAGGGUCAAAGAAUGGUAUUAUUAUUAUUAUUUGAUGUGUGUGUGGGCAAUUUCUUUGGUUUUUUUUUUUUUUUUCUUUCUUUUCAUUUAGAAUUAUUAUCUCGACUAGUAAAAAGUUAGUGAAACUAAAUAUAGAUGAGUUAUUUUUUGACUAGUUAUAUGACUUUAAAUCUUUAUUUUUAAAUACUUGACCUAUAAGGUCAUUUAUAAUUAUCUUUAAACUAUUAAAAAAAGGGUCAUUUAUGAUAGUUUUAGCAUAUUAUAUAUGUUUUUAGUAUAUUCAAUUUCAAAUAUCCUCUAAUAAAAUUGAUGUCAAAUAGGGAUACUUUUGAGUUGUUCUUUAAAUUUCGUCUAGGACCCUCAAAUUCUCAGGAAGGGCCAUGUAUGUGCACAACAAUUAUUGAAGCAAGAUCGGUUGACAACAGCACGUUUUGUGCUAUCAUCAUCGAUAUCGGUCUACUACUGUCUUUGAUUGCUUAUUUGGUGGUCAGCAUCCGAAGGUUCGUCUAUUACAUCAUCAUCUCUACGUCUGCUAAGGAGGGAAAUAAUUUUCACAAAGAACCGAACCGAAACCGAAACCUAAUAAGAUUUCCUAAGUUGGAACAAUAUAAAUUGAUAUGUAUCCAGAUUGAAAUGAAUAUACACGUAUGAGACAUGUUUUAUAGAAACUGGGUGCAAAAUUAAUGUGAGUUAAUUAACUAUAAUGUUGGAGUUAUAAAGAUGUAGAUUAGCAAAUAGGAGUUAAUUAACAAUGUCAAAUAAUAUAAUAGUGAUAGUAUUACAGUUUAUACAAGACGAUGAGAACAUUCAAAGUUCAUUUCAUUAUGCACUAAUUAACAUGUUCUCAACUAUUAAAAAAAGAUCCAUAAACAAACAAAUUGCUUAGGAGAAAAAUCCGAAGGUAUCCAAAAUGGUUGUGUGGAGCGGGUCACUCAAAUGGGUCGCCCAGUUGUUGAGUGGUCCUUUUCCAGUGGCCGCAGCCUGGACUGCAAAGCCCAAAAACGCCACCAUUGCAAGGCGGGCGUGCUUGAUCUCAGCCAGCUGAAGGGUUGCCUUCUUUUCCGGGUCAGCUGCAAGGCCCAAUGGGUCGAAGUAGGACCCACCCGGGUAUAGCCUCUGUUCCGGGUCAAGUUCUGCGUUCCUCUGGAACUCGAUGAACCCGAUCACGAGCACCUCGAUAAUGAUCAAUGUGGAUAUGGAGAAUGGAAGUGGUUGCCCAAGGUACGAUGAUCCAUCGAUCAGCUCAACCUAUGCGUACAAAUUGAUCUAAGAUUCUCUCUUCUUUAAUUCAUAAUUAAUUAUGUUAAAUUUAAUUAAUUACCUUUCCGGCGUCUUGCCAGGUGACGCCGGUGAGCCACUCGACGGUCAAGGAGCCGAGAACAGCGAGCAUGGCCCACCUACCAUGGAUGAGCUCGCAUUCUCUGAACCUCUGAAGGCCGAAAACUUCGCUGUACGGCUGGAACGGCGUUGAUUUCACGUCGCUGAGCUCGGUUCUGGUUCCGAUGAUGUCACCGGCCAAGUUCUUGGCUAGGUUCUGGUCAAGGGAGUCCAAAUCGAACUGCAAGUACUCGGCGGGUUUGCCCAAACCGAAUGGGUCGAACCCGUAAUCGCCGACGAGGGUUCCGUCGAGAUAUUCAGGCGACUUUGCUCCUGGGAACCACAAUGGGCGGUCUGGGAUGACUUUCUUUGCUUUCUUUGGUGCAGCUUUCUUGGUUCCGAAUCCGAACCUGGCCUGGACCCGACUCGAUCCGUUCACCUCCGGGAGGCGGGUGCCCAUGAAUGAGGAGGCCGUGGCGGCGGCGGCGACGGUGGUGGCGGACAUGGCGAAAUGUGAUCUUGAGGGAGGAGGGGUGGAGUGUGGUGGAGUGUGUAGAGGGAGAAUCGUAAGCUUGGUUGGGUUAUAGAGCCUGUAAUAAAAGCUGGGAUUAUCGUGAUGGAGAUGGAGAUUUUUUAUUUUUUAAAGGUGGAGAGAUGGUGGCCGUUGGAUGGAAGAAACGAAUCGAUCCAAGGGUGGUGGGAGUCUCUGCCUUAUCUGUUUCUUAUCAGUGAGUGAUUACAAAUGUGUGUUGGAAGGGAAGCUACUUGCCACCUAGGAUUGUUUUAUGUGGUUCUCAGGAUUCCUUAAGAUUGGACCAUAUCAUAAAUCAGAAUAUCUCCAUUUUCCAACCUGUACAUUGUACACAGGUUUUAAGAAUAUAUUUGAUUGUUAAUUCCACACACAUAUUUUCAUACGUACUACACUUGAUCGUAUAAUCUUCCACAUUUAGUUUAUAUACAAUCACACAUACAGAUAUAUGUAAAUAUGUAAGGAUCUAGAUCGUUGAAGUAAGUUCAAUUUAAUUGGAAUAAAACCAAUUAAAUUCCACAAAUGUAAUUAAUUCUUUAUAACACUGUAAUAUUCUGAAAAUUUCAAUAAUGCAAUAAAUAAAAGAAUCUGGAGAAGAUUCUACUACCUGGGGGGACAAUGAUGUAUUCACAAUUUGUAAACUUGAAAUAUAGAAUCAGAUGUACAGAAUGGAAUCUUAUAACUAUACGAUAAUUACAAUCUAUAUACAAAGAAUUAACACCACAACCCUAAUGAUUCACCGAAAAUGAGUAUCGUAAGUAACUACCAUUUGAUCUGGAACAACGAGAGGCAGCUUGUCUAUAUAGAUAAACAGUCUUUUCAGAUUCUCCCUUGCAAUGGUAGAUAAAUCUGUAAUGUCACAAUUGCUAGUGUAGAUCCAAAGUUCCCCAGAAUUCACCCUUUUGAGACUAUCUCUACAGAAUGGACACGACUGCGAUCGAGCACGCCUGUAUGAACAGCAAUUGUAACAACAUGAUCAAUUCAACUAUUUUGUUUUCCUUAAAGAAAAAGUUAGGAAUCUUGAAGCAUGCGAAAACAAUGAGCUUUAUACGAGAUAGAUGGUUACUUAUAUAUCCUCCUUGCUUUUCAGACAAUAUAUUUCGAUAUCCCCCAAUUUUAUAUCCUAAGUUCAGGGGUCAAAACCUAUAUUAUGGCUGCGUAAAACUAAAACAUUUCAUGUUACUUUUAAGAUAAUAGACAGGCAGAAAAGAUACAAUCACAACCAUGUACGGAAUAGAAACUCAACAUAGGGUAAGGUUCAUGUAAUUGUUAAACACUACAACUUCUACGGCCGUUUCAUCGUGUAACACAUCAAUUUUGUAAACAGAAUGGGUUUUACUUACCAGUUCUUGUAGCAGUUCAUACACAAGGAAUGGCUGCAACUAGGCAAGACAACUUUGGUAUUCAUUUCCAUGCAAAUUCCACAUUCUUCCUCUCUCUCUAUUUCAAUUUCAGAGAGCUUACCCUUGUCCAUCUCAUCUCUUCUCCUGUAUUUAGUUGCACAAAUCUUUAUUUGUUUUCUCUCUUCAACGUCCGUGAUUCCUCUAUGGAGUUGCAGCAAAGAGGGGAAUAUUACACCUGACCAAAUGUCUUCCAGUGAAUAAUAAUUUUAUAACAAUAUAUAACUAAACAGCCAAUCCGAGAGCAUGGAAAAUUGCGUAAUUCGAAGUUUUAAGCAUACUCACCAUAAAACUCCCUUAAACUGGCUUUUCUUUCACAAACGGACAUGGUUGUUUUGCCAUCCUCAUAUACCUACAAUUACUACUAAACCAUCAAUUUUCAUGAUCAUCAGAGAACCCGAUAUAUAUCAAGGAAUAUACAAUGCACAAUAUUCGUAAAACACAAGACUACCUUGUAAAUAAGGAUCCUAAUCAGCCCAAGUGCACCAGCAAGGUGACAAUCAGCCCACUGAACCAGGAAUAGAAAAAUGUGGGCACAUGGGCUGUAUGAUAGCCUCAUCUGAAGGCAGGCCCCAUCAUAUUCCCUUGAAUAAUCCGAAGCCCUGUUCAAGAAAACACAGAACACACAACAGAAAGAACCAAAAAAACAUUAAAAUCUAAAUCUAAAUCAUAUUUCCCACCUUUUAAGGAAAAUUGAAGUGUUGAGGCCAUGAGUAACUAUGUGACAAGUUCCAGUCACUUUAAGGUUAAAAAAAUUGGUUAAGACAACUUGAAAGAGGUUGCGUAAUUCAUAAAAAAAGUUGUGAUGACUGAGAGAAUAUUUUAAUCAAGGCAGAAAUAAGUUAGAUGUUAAACUGUGGAUGCUUUCUCAUACAACAAUUCACAUAUAAAUCCACCAACGCACAAUCAAACAAGCUAAAAUGUUUUUUUUGGUUUUGGUUAAUCCACCAACAUACAAUGAAUCAGGUUAGAAUUAUUUAUUGGGGAAAGAGAUAAACCCAAAAGUUCACAGAAGAAGGACAAAAAUCAAAAGGGUCCCCACAAAGAAUUACACGAAGAACAAAAAAUAAAAACUUACAGGGUGUUGGCAUGUUGAAUAUCAGCUUCAAGCGCUUUCAGAGAAUCUUUAAAAGACUUCGUCAUCAACCUCCCCUCUUCUUUCUUCUCUUACUCCCAUUCAAUUUUUCACCUCUAAUUAUUUUUUCCACCUUCUCCUCACUUCUCUUUCUCACCAACUCCCUGAUAAAAAUCCACUAUCUCAAAAAACCCACCUUUUUCAAUUAAAAAAUUUCAAAAAAAAAAUAAAAAUCUUGAACUUCUGUUCGUCCCCAAAAAGGGCAAAAAUUGGGAAAUAUCCAGAAGUAUCGUGAAGGAGUUUGCUUCUGGAGAGGCCGGAAGGGGGUGAGGUGGGGGUUCUUAAAGUCACCAGUGCAUAAAACACUAAGCCUUCUCGCUUGGACCGCACGCUUCAGUUACUGUACUGUCGUUUAAUCAUUUGUUUAAUUAAUUGGGUUUGUUUUUUAUUUUAGCUGACGCAAAGGUUGCUGAAAUUCUGUUAGCGCUGUGUUUGCUUUUGUUUGCCUAAUUAUUUUUCAUUUAUUGACAAAUAUAUCCCAAACCUGACUUUACUCGGUACUCAUCCUAUUUUACAGUUUCUAGACCUCUUCAAAUUUUAAUGCUAUUUUCCAAUUAAUAAGACGACACACUCUUAAAGACGCCAAAAGAAUGAGUUUGACUUCCUCAAUAUAAUAUUGUACUUUUUCAUUAUUUGAAAAGAUUUAUCGCAUUAAAAAUCAGUCCUUAUGAUUAUAGAUUAUUUUGGUGUUGCUGGUGUGUUUUU
RNAcentral lists this long non-coding RNA (5289 nucleotides) under Erythranthe guttata (spotted monkey flower). RNAcentral's name for it is "long non-coding RNA (EGUT_LNC002620)". Lineage: Eukaryota; Viridiplantae; Streptophyta; Magnoliopsida; Lamiales; Phrymaceae. The record is from RNAcentral.